Molecule: ribosomal RNA, 253 nt
Filed under: uncultured bacterium
Lineage: Bacteria
Description: partial 16S ribosomal RNA
Rfam family: Bacterial small subunit ribosomal RNA
Source: RNAcentral
UACAGAGGGUGCGAGCGUUGUCCGGAAUCACUGGGCGUAAAGGGCGCGUAGGUGGCGCUCCAAGUCUGUGGUGAAAGCUCGAUGCUCAACAUCGAGUCGGCCAUAGAGACUGGAGGGCUCGAGCACUGUAGGGGCAGAUGGAAUUCCGGGUGUAGCGGUGGAAUGCGUAGAGAUCCGGAGGAACACCAGAGGCGAAGGCGGCAACCUGGCACGUUACUGACGCUCAUACACGACAGCAUGGGGAGCGAACGGG